RNAcentral lists this long non-coding RNA (209 nucleotides) under Capsicum annuum. Its description in RNAcentral is "long non-coding RNA (CANN_LNC000189)". Lineage: Eukaryota; Viridiplantae; Streptophyta; Magnoliopsida; Solanales; Solanaceae. The record is from RNAcentral.
CAUGAUCAACUUGCGGGAGAAGUGAUCUACCUUGUUCUCGAUUUUGAGGGUGAUUAGUAACUUGGCUCAUGGCAUUUUGUGGUGAACUUGGAGGGUUGAAUUUUGUAGGUAAAGUCUUAGGGCCAAUGGUGACAAAAGGGUUUUGGUCAUGACCACUUGAGGAAACAUGGAGUCGAGGGGUAGAAGCACGGGAGUUCCUUCGACUCUCC